Molecule: ribosomal RNA, 1222 nt
Filed under: metagenome
Description: SSU rRNA
Rfam family: Eukaryotic small subunit ribosomal RNA
Source: RNAcentral
UCUGGUUGAUCCUGCCAGUAGUGAUAUGCUUGUUUCAAAGAUUAAGCCAUGCAUGUCUAAGUAUAAGCGAACUUAUACAGUGAAACUGCGGAUGGCUCAUUAAAACAGUUUGAAUUUAUUUGAUGAAUGUAUGAGAAUACUACUUGGAUAACCGUAGUAAUUCUAGAGCUAAUACAUGCAACGACGCCCGACCGUUUCACUACGGAAGGGCUGUAUUUAUUGGAUACCAAAACCAUCCUUCCCUCGGGAAGUUUUGUUUGAUGAUUCACAAUAACUGAUCGGAUCGCCACUGUGGUGGCGACAGGUCAUUCAACAUUCUGCCCUAUCAGCUUUCGAUGGUUGUGUAGUGGACAACCAUGGCCAUAACGGGUAACGGAGAAUCAGGGUUCGAUUCCGGAGAAGGAGCUUGAGAAUUGGCUACUACAUCUAAGGAAGGCAGCAGGCGCGCAAAUUACCCAAUCCCGAUUCGGGGAGGUAGUGACAAAAAAUAACAAUACCGGGCCUUUUUGGGCUUGGUAAUUGGAAUGAGGGAGAGUUAAACGGACCAUCGAGUAUCCAUUGGAGGGCAAGUCUGGUGCCAGCAGCUGCGGUAAUACCAGCUCCAAUAGCGUAUAUUAAAGUUGUUGCAGUUAAAAAGCUCGUAGUUGGACUUGUGUGCGCUGUCCGCGGGUGGCCUGCGCCCAAAAGGGCGUUUCGGUUCGGCCCCGGUGGCGCCUUGAAAUCUGCAGCUGGGGGGACGUUGGCCUUAACUGGUCGGCGACCGCACGCCGGCUGCUCGGUUACUGUGAGAAAAUUAGAGUGUUCAAGGCAGGCAUUGGGUGCAAUUGAAUACAUUAGCAUGGAAUAAUAAAAUAUGGCUCCUGCCGUAUUUUGUUGGUUUUGACUGGUGGGAGUAAUGAUUGAUAGGGACGGUUGGGGGUGCUAGUAUUGAGCGGCCAGAGGUGAAAUUCAUGGAUUCGCUCAAGACUAACUUAUGCGAAAGCAUUCACCAAGGACGUCCUCUUUAAUCAAGAACGAAAGUUGGGGGAUCGAAGACGAUCAGAUACCGUCGUAGUCUCAACCAUAAACUAUGUCGACUUGGGAUCGGCGGUAGUUUUUUCAUUAAGACACUGUCGGGACCACGGGAGAAAUCAAAGUGUCUGGACUCUGGGGGAAGUAUGGUCGCAAGGCUGAAACUUGAAGGAAUUGACGGAAGGGCACCACCAGGAGUGGAGCCUGCGGU